Molecule: ribosomal RNA, 382 nt
Filed under: uncultured eukaryote
Lineage: Eukaryota
Description: partial 18S ribosomal RNA
Rfam family: Eukaryotic small subunit ribosomal RNA
Source: RNAcentral
UGUAAGCGUAUACCAAAGUUGUUGCAGUUAAAACGCUCGUAGUCGGAAUUUGGCAGUUCCGGAUGUGUGCACGUCGUGUGCGCACUUCGCGGGGAUUGCUUUUGUGGUCUUGCGUAGGAUGAGGCACUUUUAUUAGUGAACGUCCUCACGCAACCACUUUUUACUGUGAGAAAAUCAGAGUGCUCAAAGCAGGCAUUUGCCGUGAAUGUAUUAGCAUGGAAUAAUAGAAUAGGACUUGGUUCUAUUUUGUUGGUUUGUUGGGACUGAGUAAUGAUUAAGAGGGACAGUUGGGGGCAUUUGUAUUUCGGUGCUAGAAGUGAAAUUCUUAGAUUACCGAAAGACAAACUGCUGCGAAAGCGUCUGCCAAGGAUGUUUUCAUUGA